This 862-nucleotide long non-coding RNA is filed under the name Homo sapiens (human). RNAcentral describes it as "HSALNT0125930". Lineage: Eukaryota; Metazoa; Chordata; Mammalia; Primates; Hominidae. The record is from RNAcentral.
UGAAGACCUCUGUGAUGAUUCACUCCCACUUAAUAAAUAUUCGUGUCCUUUUUCCUAUUUUAAAAUCAAGAUAAUAGGGUUUUCACCCUAAAGACUCUGCCAAAACUUGCAAGAGCUGAUAAAAGACUUCAGUAAAGUUUCAGGAUAUAAAAUCAAUGUACAAAAGCCAGCAGCAUUUCUAUACACCAGUAAUAUUCAAGCCAAGACUCAAAUCAAGAAUACAAUACCAUUUACAACAGCCACACAAACAAAAUACCUAAGAAUAUAUGUAACCAAUAAGGUGAUAUAUCUCUACAAGGAGAACUACAAAACACUGCUAAAUGGAAUCAUAGAUGACACAAAUAAAUGGAAAAAUAUUCCAUGCUCAUAGACUGGAAGAAUCAGUAUUGUUAAAAUGGCCAUACUGCCAAAAUCAAUCCAUAGGUUCAAUGCUAUUUUUAUCAAACUACCAAUGUAAUUUUUCACAUAAUUAGAAAAAAAAUUCUAAAAUUCAUAUGGAACCCCCUCCCCCAAAAAAAGAGCCCAAAUGGCUAAAGCAAUCCUAAGCAAAAAUAAAAAAGCCAGAGGUAUCACGUUACUCAACUUCAAGCUACACUAUAAGGCCACAGCAACCCAAAGAGCAUGCUAUUGGAAAAAAAAAAAAAAAAAAAAAGACACAUAGGCCAAUGAAACAGAAUACAGAACCCGGAAAUAAAGCCAUACACCUACAGCCAUUUGAUUUUCAACAAAAUUGGCAAAAAUAAGCAAUGGGGAAAGGACUCACUACUCAAUAAAUGGUGCUGGGACAGCUGGCUUAAGAAUGAAACAGCACCUACCUUUUACCAUAUAAAAAAAUUAGCUCAAGAUAGAUUGCAGGUUUAAA